GCACGAUUUAAAGUUAUUGCAUUUAUAGCUUGGGGACACAAAUAUCCAACGAAUAAAGGCUAGAACCUGGGGUAUAAUUUUCCCUUGUGAAAAUAUACGCGCUGAACUUAUACGAGCGGGGAAUAUACGCGCUGAACUUAUACGAGCCGGAAAUAGACGCGCUGUACUUAUACGAGCGUAAGAGAGACAUGCUAUAAGAGGCGCGUCAUUAGAGAAAUUGGCUGGUGGCCCAGAGUCCAAACCACUCUCCAAACCACCACGCGUCGGAGCAACAACAGGCUUGGACGGAAAUUCAAGAAUGAAUUACUGUAAUCCCAGUCCUAUUCCAGCCCACACUCCAUCCCCACCCCCAAAUACAUACACACACAUAAACAGAGAGAGAGAAGAGAGCACUCAAAUCCGUACAAAGACAAAGAGCAGUGAAGGGGAGUGAUUUUACGUUACAUAUUCAGUGCAUUCUUAUCCAGACUUUGUCUUCAUGCUUUGGAUUGUGCUUUUUAAGCUGGAAUUGCUCUCGGAUCUGAAGAAAUAAAAAUUUGUUCUGAAUUCUCUGUCUCCUCUUCACAUCAGAUUCAGGCCAGCAUUCCGUCUUGUUGAUUCCAGAACUGGUAUGGCUCCGUUUCCUUUUCUUUCUGUUUUCCUGAUUUGCUACGAUGGCGUGUUUGCUUUUAGGGUUUAUCCGAAUUAUACGGGUCUCCAUUAGGGUUUCCCCCAUUUUUUAAUGUUUUCAAAACAUCAAUAGAAAUCCUCUAUAGCCCUCCCGAGAUUGAUAGAUCGAGAGAUCUAUAAACCUUUUAUGCAUUUUUUUUGUUCUGUGGUUAGAUUGAAUUGAAGGAGACACGGAUCAAGGGUGGUUGAAUAGAUGCAAUUGUGGAUCUUAUGUUGGCGGGAAAGAUAGGUCCGGGCAGGGGUUUUCUAAGGGUUAGUUUUUGAAAUCUCUGCCGGGUUGCGGGUAAUGAAACUG
RNAcentral lists this long non-coding RNA (964 nucleotides) under Olea europaea subsp. europaea. Lineage: Eukaryota; Viridiplantae; Streptophyta; Magnoliopsida; Lamiales; Oleaceae. The record is from RNAcentral.